Molecule: ribosomal RNA, 445 nt
Filed under: uncultured bacterium
Lineage: Bacteria
Description: partial 16S ribosomal RNA
Rfam family: Bacterial small subunit ribosomal RNA
Source: RNAcentral
ACCAGACUCCUACGGGAGGCAGCAGUGGGGGAUAUUGCACAAUGGGGGGAACCCUGAUGCAGCGACGCCGCGUGGGUGAAGAAGCGCCUCGGCGCGUAAAGCCCUGUCAGCAGGGAAGAAAAUGACGGUACCUGAAGAAGAAGCCCCGGCUAACUACGUGCCAGCAGCCGCGGUAAUACGUAGGGGGCAAGCGUUAUCCGGAUUUACUGGGUGUAAAGGGGGCGCAGACGGCGAUGCAAGCCAGGAGUGAAAGCCCGGGGCACAACCCCGGGACUGCUCUUGGAACUGCGCGGCUGGAGUGCAGGAGGGGCAGGCGGAAUUCCUGGUGCAGCGGUGAAAUGCGUAGAUAUCAGGAGGAACACCGGUGGCGAAGGCGGCCUGCUGGACUGCGACUGACGUUGAGGCCAGAAAGCGUGGGGAGCAAACAGGAUGAGAUACCCCAGUA